RNAcentral lists this ribosomal RNA (253 nucleotides) under uncultured bacterium. RNAcentral describes it as "partial 16S ribosomal RNA". It matches the Rfam family "Bacterial small subunit ribosomal RNA", at positions 524 to 776 of the family's 1533-position model. The record is from RNAcentral.
UACGUAGGCAGCGAGCGUUGUUCGGAAUUACUGGGCGUAAAGAGUGUGUAGGCGGUGCUCUAAGUUCGGUGUGAAAUCUCCUGGCUUAACUGGGAGGGUGCGCCGGAAACUGGAGUGCUUGAGCGUGGGAGAGGAAAGCGGAAUUCCUGGUGUAGCGGUGAAAUGCGUAGAUAUCAGGAGGAACACCUGUGGUGUAGACGGCUUUCUGGACCAUUGCUGACGCUGAGACACGAAAGCGUGGGUAGCAAACAGG